CAGGUAGAGAAUACCGAGGCGAUCGGGCGAACUGUGGUUAAGGAACUCGGCAAAUUACCCCCGUAACUUCGGGAGAAGGGGGGCCACAGACCGUGAAACCCCAUGCGGGUGGCAGCGGUAGGUGGCCGCAGAGACCAGGGGGAAGCGACUGUUUACUAAAAACACAGGUCCGUGCGAAGUCGUAAGACGAUGUAUACGGACUGACGCCUGCCCGGUGCUGGAACGUUAAGGGGACCGGUUAGUCCGCAAGGGCGAAGCUGAGAACUUAAGCGCCAGUAAACGGCGGUGGUAACUAUAACCAUCCUAAGGUAGCGAAAUUCCUUGUCGGGUAAGUUCCGACCUGCACGAAUGGCGUAACGACUUCCCUACUGUCUCGACCACAGGCCCGGCGAAAUUGCACUACGAGUAAAGAUGCUCGUUACGCGCGGAAGGACGGAAAGACCCCGGGACCUUCACUAUACCUUGACAUUGGUACUCGAAUUGAAUUGUGUAGGAUAGGUGGGAGACUAUGAAGCUCGGACGCCAGUCCGGGUGGAGUCAACGUUGAAAUACCACUCUGUUGAAUUUGGGUAUCUAACUUCGGACCGUGAUCCGGUUCAGGGACAGUGUCUGGUGGGUAGUUUAACUGGGGCGGUUGCCUCCUAAAAUGUAACGGAGGCGCCCAAAGGUUCCCUCAGCCUGGCUGGCAAUCAGGUGUUGAGUGCAAGUGCACAAGGGAGCUUGACUGUGAGACUGACAGGUCGAGCAGGGACGAAAGUCGGGACUAGUGAUCCGGCACCGGCGAGUGGAAGCGGUGUCGCUCAACGGAUAAAAGGUACCCCGGGGAUAACAGGCUGAUCUUCCCCAAGAGUCCAUAUCGACGGGAUGGUUUGGCACCUCGAUGUCGGCUCGUCGCAUCCUGGGGCUGGAGUAGGUCCCAAGGGUUGGGCUGUUCGCCCAUUAAAGCGGCACGCGAGCUGGGUUUAGAACGUCGUGAGACAGUUCGGUCCCUAUCCUCCGCGCGCGCAGGAGACUUGAGAAGAGCUGUCCCUAGUACGAGAGGACCGGGACGGACGAACCUCUGGUGUGCCAGUUGUCAUGCCAAUGGCACGGCUGGUUAGCUGCGUUCGAAAGGGAUAACCGCUGAAAGCAUCUAAGCGGGAAGCCUGCUUCAAGAUGAGGUCUCCCUCCCCUCGAGGGUUAAGGCCCCCAGCAAGACCACUGGGUUGAUAGGCCAGAAGUGUAAGCCUGGUAACAGGUUCAGCCGACUGGUACUAAUAGGCCGAGGACUUCACC
This 1275-nucleotide ribosomal RNA is filed under the name metagenome. RNAcentral describes it as "bacterial LSU rRNA". It matches the Rfam family "Bacterial large subunit ribosomal RNA", at positions 1668 to 2925 of the family's 2925-position model. The record is from RNAcentral.